Long non-coding RNA from Dermacentor silvarum, 2483 nucleotides. RefSeq lists it as uncharacterized. The record is from RefSeq and is a predicted model, not a curated record. Lineage: Eukaryota; Metazoa; Arthropoda; Arachnida; Ixodida; Ixodidae. The transcript has 2 exons.
AAUUUUGUCUGCUCCAAACUGCUGCAAAUUGCAGUUUUACUUGCUCCAAAAAUUGCUCCGAAAUGACUUUGGGCAGUCCCACCCCUGUGUAUGCAGGCAAAGUUUGGUUUUAAGUGCUCAAGUGCUUUCUUUUGGCUACCCCCCCCCCCCCCCACACACACCUUUUGCAGACAUUUGUAAGAAAUGCCUAAUGUGUUGAAGUAGUGAAACCAUUGAAUAUUAUGCGCUGUAUUAUUAACAGGUCUGUGUGCUCAAGAGAUACCCAUGAGGUGGUUGUUUAUCUACAGAUAUAUUGUGAUUUAUUGUCUAAUUGCACGUAUGUGCUCACUGGAAUUACUUUGUGGAUCAUAACACUGUGCUGAUAAGUUUGCUGUGGCUUGGAUUUCUGCAACCCAAUCAAUACAGUGGCAGCUAUGGGUGAAGUUUUUUUUUUUUUUUACUGCAAUAGCGAUGGACCUUUCUGCAAACAUGCAGCGCCAUGCUUUCCCUUAGUGGCGUUUGGCAAGAGGAUGCACCAGGCAGCUGCUGUAUGAGACUGUAAAGUGUCCUGCAAACUUUUUAUAAUUUCUCAAAGUUUUUAUUUUUACUGUUUGUCAGUUGCUGGCUGAAAGUGUGCAUACCACUGAACCUUAAGCAAAGCAUUUUACUACCUUCAGCAUGCCUCAGAAGAAGAAAGAUGCCGUUCUAACAUGCUGUGCACCUGGCUAUGAUAACAUUCUGGAAGACAGCAACGUCGUUUAUGCCUUAUCGUUUGACACAUGAUCACUAAACUUUGUGUGCACAUUUUAUUGCAUUCCUACGUUUUUGAAACAUGAAAACGAUGAGUAGACUGUACUUUGUCACGGCUUGUCGUUGGUGAAAAUGCGUGAGAGAGUCCAUCUAUGUAAUAAACAAUCAUCUUCCAUCAAUGCUGCCACCUUUAAUAGUUUUCAAUCGCUUUAGUAUAUCACUACUGCCUACCACUAUUAUAUCUCGGCAGUGGCACGUCGCAGGUGGUCGUGAUGCUAGUGUAUAAGGCGAACAGGCUUAGUAUAGAAGCCGUACUUUGUCACAACCAACAACCUAUAGCAAAGCAUCAUGCUGAAUGUUACCUCGUGCAUAUACUGAAGAAUUUUAUUACUGAUAGAUUGACAAUACAACUUCUGCAUUUUCCAGAUUUAGUGAUGAUAAGCAAACUCUCGGGCUAAAAGCAUUCAGCUGACAAGUGUCAUGUCCCUUUUGAGAUGCAGAAACCAUUGGAGGAGGAUUAUCAAAGUGAAUCGAUAGCUUCUCAGUAGAUCUGCUGAGAUAUGCUGCUGGGACAUUUAUUAGUUGGCUCUGUUAGUUAAUGAUAUGAGGUGUGUGGGUGUGUGAUAUUUCGGAGUGCAUCCAAUAGGCUGUCUUCAGCCUUGCUAUGCUGUAAGGUGAGAGACAUGCUGAUGUAUUAAUUUUUCCUGCACCUAUGGUUCUAUCACUGAAUAUUCUGUGGCCAGUGUCUUGUGAAGCAUUGCCCGUGCUGCAAAGUGCUUCAUUUACAUCCCGCAUUAUGUGCUACUGCUCCAGCAUAGUGCAUUGUGUUCAACAGAGGAACGCUGUGUGUCGUGUAUGCGGAAUGCUAAUUCUGCAUUCUCGUUCGGCACCUGAGACAGCACAUUGUAUAUUAUAUACAUUUAUGCAGGACAAGAUGCUGUGUUGUGAGUGCACUUGCAAUGGCCAUUUAACUGCUAUCACAAUAAAAUGAGUUUUAUGCGUGACAAGAGAUCAAUGCGGAGUAUUGAAGUUGUGUUCAAGGACUUUCUAAGUAUCAGUGGAAUGCAUGGUCAUCAGCUUGAGCAAACGCCUUGUCUUUGUAGCAGCCAGGCAGAGUGUCAUUAUAUAUAUAGGUCCCGCAACUCGAGAGCAACUCGAUACUGAGCAUGUAACCAAAGACUUCCAGUCUGGAACAUGGCACAAUCAUGUCUUGGAAUGUGAAUUGCAGCUGCAAUGAACUGGCCUCUGUUCAGCUCAAGACAGAUCUCGCAAGAAUAGCAACAUUCUGUAUUACUAUGUGUUGUUGCCUUUGCAACAGCAGUGCAAAAAGUGGGCACAGAGGUUGUUUUUUUUUUUUCUAGUACUACAGUUCGUUUUAUCAUUUGCAUCCCAUUAAGUAGUAUGAGUGAACAUAUAGUAGCAUUUUUGUAAGUAGCACAUUGAUGUGUGUAAUGUGGCCCAAAGCUGCCUUGAACUGGUGUGUAGUCAGAUGAAGACAGAUCCAGCAGUUUGGAAUACUUGGUAUUACAUCUACCUUUGCCACAGCAAUAUGAAAAGACGAAACAUGUUUUUUCUGUGUGUGUGUGCAUGUAUGUGUGUGUAUGCUGUGUUUAGUUUCAAUGCUGUCUGCAUCCCUUUAUGUACCACAUGUGAAUAUGUCGUAUUUUUUUUUUUCUUUGCUAUUUUGGAAGGGCACGAUUUGCUCAUUUAUAUAUUUCUUGAGUAAAAUAAAAUGAAGAAAGCUGUUCAGCAAA